ACCAUUUCUGCAUUCAUUGAUUACUCUCUCUCUCUCUCUCUCAAGAUCUCCAUAGUCAAAACCCUCAAAUAAUUACUCAUCUUUGUUAGUUUUUACCUCAUAAUUAUACCAAUCUUGCACCCCCCCACUUCAUUAAUUAGGGUUAAACCCUAUUUAAUCAUCUGGGUUUUCUUUACUAAACCAUAAAGAUUCUUCCUUUUUGUUGAUAAUUGAUUCCCCCAUCUGGGUUUAGUUCAUUAGUUGAAUCUUGAUUCUCACACACUCACUGUGUGUUUGUGUUCUUGUCAAUUAUACAAAUCUAGCACCCCCACUUCAUUAAUCCGGUGGUGGUGGCGGUGCACGGUUUCUAGCUGGUGGUGGGUUCGACAGUGGCGGUGGAAGUGGGAGGGAAGGUGGAGGAGGAAGCUGUUGUUUUAGUCUGGGAGAGGGCUGUGGUGGUUGCAAGGUGGCGGUAGGUGGAUGUAUUGUGGCGGUAGGUGGAGGUAGAGUGGUGGUGGCUGGAGUUACUGGCGAUGGUGGAGGUGGGUCAACCCGAUUCUUAACUUCUUGUGGGUCCACAAAAUCGGCCAUCAGAAGACGUCCCCCCUCGUAAACGUGAUUUCCCUCAUUGUUAGUUUGUGCAAUUUUGGUUUUUUUUUUUUAGAAUCCUCUGCAUAAAAUUUAGGGAUUUGGGGUCAAUUGUUUAGAACUUCAUAUUUGGGGGUGGGUGUGGCGAUGGCAGCACCCGGGUGGUGAAUGGUGGGGCAGCGGUUUGUGGGGAUUUAGAGAUGGUGGUUGUGAUGGUGUUGAGUGGGUGGUGGAUGGUGGGGCAAGGUGGUGUGGGGUGGAUGGUGGUUUGGGUGGUGGUGGUGGUACGAGUGUGAGGGAUAUGGUGGCAGGUUGUUGAAGAGAAUUGUUGCAGGUUGUUCAAAAUGGGAUUGAUUUGGGGAAGAAAGGAUUAGGGUGAAAAGACAAUUUUACCCUCAUGUGCAUUGCACAUGACCAGAUUUGACAGAAAAAUUUAACUGUGUUAGGGCUAAAGGACAAAACGUGUAUGAUUUAAAAACAUA
This 1049-nucleotide long non-coding RNA is filed under the name Helianthus annuus (common sunflower). RNAcentral describes it as "hypothetical non coding rna". The record is from RNAcentral. Lineage: Eukaryota; Viridiplantae; Streptophyta; Magnoliopsida; Asterales; Asteraceae.